GGGGUGCGUAACGCGUGGGAAUCUGCCCUUAGGUACGGAAUAACAGUUAGAAAUGACUGCUAAUACCGUAUGAUGACGUAAGUCCAAAGAUUUAUCGCCUAAGGAUGAGCCCGCGUAGGAUUAGCUAGUUGGUGAGGUAAAAGCUCACCAAGGCGACGAUCCUUAACUGGUCUGAGAGGAUGAUCAGCCACACUGGGACUGAGACACGGCCCGUACUCCUUUGGAGCGCCUCCUAGGGGAAUAUUGGACAAUGGGCGAAAGCCUGAUCCAGCAAUGCCGCGUGAGUGAUGAAGGCCUUAGGGUUGUAAAGCUCUUUUACCCGGGAAGAUAAUGACUGUACCGGGAGAAUAAGCCCCGGCUAACUCCGUGCCAGCAGCCGCGGUAAUACGGAGGGGGCUAGCGUUGUUCGGAAUUACUGGGCGUAAAGCGCACGUAGGCGGCUUGAUAAGUUAGAGGUGAAAGCCCGGGGCUCAACUCCGGAAUAGCCUUUAAGACUGUCUCGCUUGAACGUCGGAGAGGUGAGUGGAAUUCCGAGUGUAGAGGUGAAAUUCGUAGA
Molecule: ribosomal RNA, 556 nt
Filed under: Sphingomonadaceae bacterium StRD456
Lineage: Bacteria; Pseudomonadati; Pseudomonadota; Alphaproteobacteria; Sphingomonadales; Sphingomonadaceae
Description: bacterial SSU rRNA
Rfam family: Bacterial small subunit ribosomal RNA
Source: RNAcentral